AGCAGCCGCGGUAAUUCCAGCUCCAAUAGCGUAUAUUAAAGUUGCUGCAGUUAAAAAGCUCGUAGUUGAAUUUCGGGACUAAUAUGUCGGUCGUGCCUCGGUACGUACUGGCUUAUUGGUUUCUCCUUUCUGAAGAACCAUGAUGUCAUUUAUUUGGUGUCGUGGGGAAUCAGGACUGUUACUUUGAAGAAAUUAGAGUGUUUAAAGCAGGCUCACGCUUGAAUACAUUAGCAUGGAAUAAUGAAAUAGGACGUUUGAUUCUAUUUUGUUGGUUUCUAGGAUCGACGUAAUGAUUAAUAGGGAUAGUUGGGGGCAUUAGUAUUCAAUUGUCAGAGGUGAAAUUCUUGGAUUUAUUGAAGACUAACUACUGCGAAAGCAUUUGCCAAGGAUGUUUUCAUUAAUCAAGAACGAAAGUUAGGGGAUCGAAGACGAUCAGAUACCGUCGUAGUC
RNAcentral lists this ribosomal RNA (450 nucleotides) under uncultured Glomeromycotina. RNAcentral describes it as "SSU rRNA". It matches the Rfam family "Eukaryotic small subunit ribosomal RNA", at positions 569 to 1025 of the family's 1831-position model. Lineage: Eukaryota; Fungi; Glomeromycota. The record is from RNAcentral.